AUUGAACGCUGGCGGCAUGCCUUACACAUGCAAGUCGAACGGCAGCACGGGAGCAAUCCUGGUGGCGAGUGGCGAACGGGUGAGUAAUGUAUCGGAACGUGCCCAGUCGUGGGGGAUAACGUAGCGAAAGCUACGCUAAUACCGCAUACGAUCUAUGGAUGAAAGCGGGGGAUCGCAAGACCUCGCGCGAUUGGAGCGGCCGAUGUCAGAUUAGGUAGUUGGUGGGGUAAAGGCUCACCAAGCCGACGAUCUGUAGCUGGUCUGAGAGGACGACCAGCGACACUGGGACUUCGACACGGCCCGGACUCCUACGGGAGGCAUCAGUGGGGAAGUUUGGACAAUGGGCGAAAGCCUGAUCCAGCAAUGCCGCGUGCAGGAUGAAGGCCUUCGGGUUGUAAACUGCUUUUGUACGGAACGAAACGGCGAACUCUAAUACAGUUUGCUAAUGACGGUACCGUAAGAAUAAGCACCGGCUAACUACGUGCCAGCCGCCGCAGUAA
Molecule: ribosomal RNA, 500 nt
Filed under: uncultured bacterium
Lineage: Bacteria
Description: partial 16S ribosomal RNA
Rfam family: Bacterial small subunit ribosomal RNA
Source: RNAcentral